This 73-nucleotide transfer RNA is filed under the name Planctomycetota bacterium. RNAcentral's name for it is "Planctomycetes bacterium (anaerobic digester metagenome) tRNA-Arg". It matches the Rfam family "tRNA". Rfam says of the family: Transfer RNA (tRNA) molecules are approximately 80 nucleotides in length. Their secondary structure includes four short double-helical elements and three loops (D, anti-codon, and T loops). Lineage: Bacteria; Pseudomonadati; Planctomycetota. The record is from RNAcentral.
GUCCUCGUGGUGAAAAGGAUGAUCACACGACUCUCCGAAGGUCGGGUUCCAGGUUCGAGUCCUGGCGAGGACG